AGAAAAGGUUACUUAAGCAUAUGGAGAAUGCCUUGACUCGUAUGAGCGAAGAAGGACGCAGCAGGUUGCGAUAAGCCUCGGGGAGUUGCCAAGCAAACUUUGAUCCGGGGAUUUCCGAAUGGGGAAACCCUCUUGUUUUUUAGCAAGAAUCGUUAUCUGAAUACAUAGGAUAACGAAGCAAACCCAGUGAACUGAAACAUCUUAGUAGCUGGAGGAAUAGAAAUCAAUAGAGAUUCCGUCAGUAGUGGCGAGCGAAAGCGGAACAGUCUAAACCGAUGCACAGCAUCGGAAUGACCAAUAACCAAAUUCCAAUUUCCAAAUAAAUUUCAAAUUACCAAUAAUCAAUUUUCAAACAUUUUAUUGUUUGAUUAUUGUGAAUCGGGAUUUAUUAAUUGUUUGUUUCUUGGUGCUUGAUUAUUGGAAUUUCCGCUGCUGUGCAGCGGUGUUGUGAGGUAAUUUUACUCGUUUAAUCGGGGUUGCUUUAUAUUUUUUAGUAAAACACUUUGGAAAGAGUGGCCAUAGAAAGUAACAGCCUUGUAUGCGAAAAAAAAUAUAAAACGAUGUAAUUAUUCUCAAGUAGGGCGGGGUCGGAGAAGCCCUGUCUGAAUCCGGGAGCACUAACUUCCAAGACUAAAUAUUAUACGAGAUCGAUAGUGAACUAGUACCGUGAGGGAAAGGUGAAAAGUAUCCCGAUAAGGGAGAUGAAAUAGUAUCUGAAACCAUAUGUUAACAAAGAGUCAGAACGGUGUUUACACCGUGAUGGCGUACUUUUUGUAGAACGGGCCAACGAGUUAGUUUUAUACGGCUUGCAUAAAUCACUCUGUGGGAUAUGCACAGUGAAAGCGAGGCUUAACCGCCGAAUUUGUCGUAUGAACUAGACCCGAAGCCAGGCGAGCUACGCAUGAGCAGGGUGAACCCCAAGUAACAUUGGGGGGAGGCCCGAACCCACUGACCGUUUAACGUCAGGGGAUGACUUGUGCGUAGGGGAGAAAUUCCAAUCGAGCUUGGCGAUAGCUGGUUCUCUCCGAAAUAGCUUUAGGGCUAGCGUUCGGUAAAUGAGCAAGGGAGGUAGAGCUACUGGAUGAGUUCUCGCGGUUCGCCGUAGAGCGCUCAACCAAACUCCGAAUUCUUUUGUUUCUUAUCCGGGCAGUUAGAGUCUCGGCGCUAAGGUCGAGGCUCAAAAGGGAAAAAGCCCAGACCAUAAUCUAAGGUCCCUAAAUUCAUGUUAAGUGGGAAAGGAAGUGAAAUUUCUUAAACACCUAGUAGGUUGGCUUAGAAGCAGCCAUCCUUUAAAGAGUGCGUAAUAGCUCACUAGCUUAGAGAUUUCGCGUCGAAGAUGUAACGGGGCUAAACAUGAUACCGAAGAUAUGGACCUGUCGCUCUCGAGCGACGGGUGGUAGGAGAGCGUUCCUUGUGCGAUGAAGUCAAAGGCGUGAGCCAUGGUGGAGCGCAGGGAAGUGAGAAUGUUGGCAUGAGUAACCGCAAUGUGAGUGAGAUCCUCACACCCCGAAAAUCCAAGGUUUCCUGGGCAAUGGCAAUCAUCCCAGGGUUAGUCGAUCCUAAGGCGAGGCCGAAAGGCGUAGUCGAUGGACAUACGGUUAAUAUUCCGUAACCACAUUAAUAUUCGAUGGAGUGACGCAUUUUAGUAACUACUGCACAUUAUUGGAUUUGUGUAGCGUACUUAAGGGUGUAUGAUAGGUAAAUCCGUCAUACACUAAACCCAAGAGUAUGCUGGAAGUUGUUCUUCGGAAUGACGCACAGUAGCGAGCAAGGUGCCAGGAAAAGCUUCUAAGGUUAGUAUUAAUGUGAUCGUACCAAAACCAACACAGGUGGAUAGGGCGAGUAGCCCAAGGGGAACGAGAGAACCUUCGUUAAGGAACUCGGCAAAAAAUCUAGACGUAAGUUAGCGAGAUGUCUUUCCGGUACUUAAUUGUGCCGGACGCAGCUAAAGAUUCCCUAGCGACUGUUUAUCUAAAACACAGGUCUCUGCAAAAGCGCAAGCUGAAGUAUAGGGGCUGACACCUGACCAGUGCUGGAACGUUAACGGAAGCGGUUCACGCCAAUUCCCGAAGCGCCAGUGAACGUCGGCGAUAACUAUAAUCGUCCUAAGGUUCUGAUUCUACUUAGGUGGAAUCAGAAUAACUGGGACGAUUGAUAGUGAAGGAUAAACAAGCUAUGAAAUAACAUGCAAAGGAAAAGUAAACGCCUAUCCCGAUUAUUUUAUCGGGAUGUAAAUCAGCUAUAUGCUGGAAAGUCUGGAGUAUCUGAAGCUACUCGGUUAUAGAUUAUUUAUAGCCAGUAAAAAUGCUAUCAGUGCAGAUAAUCAGCAGGAAAGAUUCCGAUUUAUCGGAAAAUCCUCAGAGACUAAAAUGCUGAUCCGCCUCAGGUGGAAGAUAUAGUCCGUUCUCUAUGGCGACAUAGAGCUAACAAUAAGAGCGAAAUUCCUUGUCAGGUAAAUUCUGACCCGCAUGAAAGGUGUAACGACUGGGGAACUGUCUCAACGAAGGACUCGGUGAAAUUGCAAUGGGGGUAAAGAUGCCCCCUACCUGCGGCAAGACGAGAAGACCCCGUGGAGCUUUACUACAGCUUGGCAUUGAAUUAAGGUUCUAGCUGCCGAGAAUAGGUGGGAGACUUUGAGGCCUCAACUCAGGUUGAGGAAGAGUCAUCAGUGGAAUACCACCCUGUUAUUAUUUUAAUUCUAACCCUAGUCUGUUAAAAGAUAGGAAUAGCGAUUUAUGAUUUAUGAUUUAAGGAUAGGCUUAGUAAAAAUUCACAACAUAAUCUUUUUUAUAUUAUGAAUAUUCAUAAUUCAUAUUUCGUGUCUUACAUUCUUAUUUUUUACCAGACUGGGAACAGUGCCUGGUGGGUAGUUUGAGUGGGGCGCUCACCUCCUAAAUGGUAACGGAGGUGCUUACAAAGGUUGGCUAGGCCCGGAUGGAAAUCGGGCUGAUAGUACAAAAGCACAAGCCAGCUUUACUGAAAGACUAAUCAGUCGCUCAGUCACGAAAGUGGAAUUUAGUGAACCGACCAUCGCUUGUAGGAGCGUGGAAGAUCAUCAGAUAAAAGUUACCCCGGGGAUAACAGGCUAAUAGUGUCCAAGAGUUCACAUCGACGACACUGUUUGGCACCUCGAUGUCGGCUCAUCUCAUCCUGGGGCUGGAGCAGGUCCCAAGGGUAUGGCUGUUCGCCAUUUAAAGAGGUACGUGAGCUGGGUUCAGAACGUCGUGAGACAGUUCGGUCCCUAUCUACCGUGGGUGUAGGAAUAUUGAGAGGAGCGGCCCCUAGUACGAGAGGACCGGGGUUGGCGUACCUCUGGUGGAUCUGUUGUCGCGCCAGCGGCAUAGCAGAGUAGCUAAGUACGGAACAGAUAAGCGCUGAAGGCAUCUAAACGCGAAGCUGGCCUCAAAACAAGUAUUCCCUAUCAGAGCCGUUGUAGACUACGACGUUGAUAGGCAGGGUGUGAAAGUGUGGUAACACAUGAAGCUAACCUGUACUAAUAGCUCGAUCGACUUGAAUCUUU
Molecule: ribosomal RNA, 3520 nt
Filed under: Candidatus Cloacimonadota bacterium
Lineage: Bacteria; Pseudomonadati; Candidatus Cloacimonadota
Description: 23S ribosomal RNA
Rfam family: Bacterial large subunit ribosomal RNA
Source: RNAcentral